ACGGCUCAGUAACACGUAGUCAACAUACCCAAAGGACGUGGAUAACCUCGGGAAACUGAGGAUAAACCGCGAUAGGUCAUAAGUACUGGAAUGUUUUAUGGCUCAAAUCUACAUGGCCUCUGGAUUGGACUGCGGCCGAUCAGGCUGUUGGUGAGGUAAUGGCCCACCAAACCUGUUACCGGUACGGGCUCUGAGAGGAGGAGCCCGGAGAUGGGCACUGAGACAAGGGCCCAGGCCCUAUGGGGCGCAGCAGGCGCGAAACCUCUGCAAUAGGCGAAAGCUUGACAGGGUUACUCUGAGUGAUUCCCGCUAAGGGAAUCUUUUGGCAUCUCUAAAAACGAUGCAGAAUAAGGGGUGGGCAAGUCUGGUGUCAGCCGCCGCGGUAAUACCAGCACCCCGAGUGGUCGGGACGAUUAUUGGGCCUAGGAGGCGGGAGAGGCAAGCGGUACUCAGUGGGUAGGGGUAAAAUCCUCUGAUCCAUUGAAGACCACCAGUGGCGAAGGCGGCUUGCCAGAACGCGCUCGACGGUGAGGGAUGAAAGCUGGGGGAGCAAACCGGAUUAGAUACCCGGGUAGUCCCAGCUGUAAACGAUGCAGACUCGGUGAUGGGCCGGCUUCAUGCCGGCUCAGUGCCGCAGGGAAGCCGUUAAGUCUGCCGCCUGGGGAGUACGGUCGCAAGACUGAAACUUAAAGGAAUUGGCGGGGGAGCACCACAAGGGGUGAAGCCUGCGGUUCAAUUGGAGUCAACGCCGGAAAUCUUACCGGGGGCGACAGCAGAGUGAAGGUCAAGCUGAAGACUUUACCAGACAAGCUGAGAGGAGGUGCAUGGCCGUCGCCAGCUCGUGCCGUGAGGUGUCCUGUUAAGUCAGGUAACGAGCGAGACCCCCACC
Molecule: ribosomal RNA, 889 nt
Filed under: uncultured archaeon
Lineage: Archaea
Description: bacterial SSU rRNA
Rfam family: Archaeal small subunit ribosomal RNA
Source: RNAcentral